This 468-nucleotide ribosomal RNA is filed under the name uncultured bacterium. RNAcentral describes it as "partial 16S ribosomal RNA". It matches the Rfam family "Bacterial small subunit ribosomal RNA", at positions 28 to 507 of the family's 1533-position model. The record is from RNAcentral.
GACGAACGCUGGCGGCGUGCUUAACACAUGCAAGUCGAACGGAAGGGCCCUGCUUGUGUGGGGUGCUCGAGUGGCGAACGGGUGAGUAACACGUGAGUAACCUGCCCUUGACUGUGGGAUAACUUCAGGCAACUGGGGCUAAUACCGGAUAGGAGCGCCUGCUGCAUGGGGGGGGUUGGAAAGUUGCGUCGGAUGGGGGUGGACUCGCGGCUUAUCAGCUUGUUGGGGGGGUAGUGGCUUACCCAGGCAUUGACGGGUAGCCGGCCUGAGAGGGUGACCGGCCACAUUGCGCCUGCGGGAGGCCGCAGACGCCUAUGGUGGGCAGCAGUGGGGAGUAUUGCCCAGCGGUGGCAAGCCUGAUGCGAAGACGCUGCGAUCGUGAUGCCGGUCUUCUUGUUGUAAACGGCUGUCGCCUGUUACCAAGCUGUAUUGACGUUAACGGGUAAAGAAGCACCGGCUAACUACGUG